Molecule: ribosomal RNA, 253 nt
Filed under: uncultured bacterium
Lineage: Bacteria
Description: partial 16S ribosomal RNA
Rfam family: Bacterial small subunit ribosomal RNA
Source: RNAcentral
UACGUAGGGAGCAAGCGUUGUCCGGAAUCAUUGGGCGUAAAGCGCGCGUAGGUGGCCUCAUAAGUCCGCUGUGAAAGUCAAAGGCUCAACCUUUGAAAGCCGGUGGAUACUGUGAGGCUAGAGUACGGAAGAGGCGAGUGGAAUUCCUGGUGUAGCGGUGGAAUGCGCAGAUAUCAGGAGGAACACCAAUAGCGAAGGCAGCUCGCUGGGACGUUACUGACACUGAGGCGCGAAAGCUAGGGGAGCAAACAGG